RNAcentral lists this transfer RNA (96 nucleotides) under Beauveria bassiana. Its description in RNAcentral is "tRNA-Leu for anticodon CAG". It matches the Rfam family "tRNA". Rfam says of the family: Transfer RNA (tRNA) molecules are approximately 80 nucleotides in length. Their secondary structure includes four short double-helical elements and three loops (D, anti-codon, and T loops). The record is from RNAcentral. RNAcentral also lists the same sequence under 1 other name. Lineage: Eukaryota; Fungi; Ascomycota; Sordariomycetes; Hypocreales; Cordycipitaceae.
GGCAAGAUGGCCGAGCACGGUCAUGGCGCUACGUUCAGGGAAAUUACCUAAAUCGUAGUGGAGAAAUCCGCCUGGGUUCAAAUCCCAGUCUUGUCA